CAGAACAAAGGCCUGGAGACUGGAGCGAGCUGCGUUCUUGGGGGUGGGGGGUGGGGCGGCAGCUGGAGAGUGGGGGCUUCCCCAGCGGGAGAGGGAGGACGAUUCUGGAUGGCUUCCCUCCUUGUGGACAGAGUGAGUCUCUGCUAUGAGAAAGGCUAUUGAGAGUGAAAACAAGCACUGACAUGAACACCCAACCACCUGCCGGUGAUAUCGUCCCCUUCUGAGAUCUGAGGACGUGGAUAUCCAACCACCUGCCGGUGACAUUGUCUCCUUCUGAGAUCUGAGGACAUGGACACCAAACCACCUGCCGGUGACAUUGUCUCCUUCUGAGAUCUGAGGACAUGAACACCAAACCACCUGCCAGUGACAUCGUCCCCUUCUGAGAUCUGAGGACAUGGAUACCCAACCACCUGCCGGUGACAUCGUCUCCUUCUGAGAUCUGAGGACAUGGACACCCAACCACCUGCCGGUGACAUCGUCUCCUUCUGAGAUCUGAGGACAUGAACACCCAACCACCUGCCGGUGAUAUCGUCCCCUUCUGAGAUCUGAGGACGUGGAUAUCCAACCACCUGCCGGUGACAUUGUCUCCUUCUGAGAUCUGAGGACAUGGACACCAAACCACCUGCCGGUGACAUUGUCUCCUUCUGAGAUCUGAGGACAUGAACACCAAACCACCUGCCAGUGACAUCGUCCCCUUCUGAGAUCUGAGGACAUGGAUACCCAACCACCUGCCGGUGACAUCAUCUUCUUCUGAGAUCUGAGGACAUGGACACCCAACCACCUGCCGGUGACAUCGUCUCCUUCUGAGAUCUGAGGACAUGGACACCAAACCACCUGCCGGUGACAUCGUCUCCUUCUGAGAUCUGAGGACAUGAACACCCAACCACCUGCCGGUGAUAUCGUCCCCUUCUGAGAUCUGAGGACGUGGAUAUCCAACCACCUGCCGGUGACAUUGUCUCCUUCUGAGAUCUGAGGACAUGGACACCAAACCACCUGCUGGUGACAUUGUCUCCUUCUGAGAUCUGAGGACAUGAACACCAAACCACCUGCCAGUGACAUCGUCCCCUUCUGAGAUCUGAGGACAUGGAUACCCAACCACCUGCCGGUGACAUCAUCUUCUUCUGAGAUCUGAGGACAUGGACACCCAACCACCUGCCGGUGACAUCGUCUCCUUCUGAGAUCUGAGGACAUGGACACCAAACCACCUGCCGGUGACAUCGUCUCCUUCUGAGAUCUGAGGACAUGAACACCCAACCACCUGCCGGUGACAUCGUCCCCUUCUGAGAUCUGAGGACAUUGAUACCCAGCCACCUGCCGGUGACAUCGUCUCCUUCUGAGAUCUGAGGAUAUGGACACCAAACCACCUGCCGGUGACAUCGUCUCCUUCUGAGAUCUGAGGACAUGAACACCCAACCACCUGCCGGUGACAUCGUCCCCUUCUGAGAUCUGAGGACAUGGAUACCCAACCACCUGCCGGUGACAUCGUCUCCUUCUGAGAUCUGAGGACAUGGACACCCAACCUGCUGCUGGUGACAUCGUUCCCUUCUGAGAUCUGAGGACAUGGACACCAAACCACCUGCCAGUGACAUCGUCUCCUUCUGAGAUCUGAGGACAUGGACACCAAACCUGCUGCCGGUGACAUCGUCCCCUUCUGAGAUCUGAGGACAUGGACACCCAACCACCUGCCGGUGACAUCGUCUCCUUCUGAGGUCUGAGGACAGACACUCACAUGGACACCUAAACACCUGCCGAUGAUAUUGUCUCCUUCUGAAAUCUGAGGACAUGGACACCCAACCAGCUGCUGGUGACAUCAUCUCCUUCUGAGAUCUGAGGACAGACACUCACAUAGACGCCCAAUCAGCUGCUGGUGACAUUGUCUCCUUCUGAAAUCUGAGGGUUGGAACACAUUGGCCUGGCUCAGUGUUUCUCCAUGUGGUUUUGAGACCACCUGAGUUGGAACCGAUAUGGGUUCCCAGCCUCACGCCUGGAGAGCUGGAUUUUGCGAGUGUGAGGUUAGGUCCAGCAUCUGCAUGUGUAACGAGCUCCCAGGUGUUUCGUAGAUGCAUUAGGGCUUGAGAAGCUCCUUUCUAGCACCAUCUUCCUUUUUGCGCAUGAGGGAGUUCAGGUCCAGAGAAAUAAAGCAGCAAGGUUAGUGGCACAGCUGGCGCCCCCUGCUUUCUAGGAAUUUAGAAUAUUAUUGAAGAGAGAGGUAUUAGAACCUGUGAAGUCAAUACAGAGACCUCCAGGCGAGUGGCAUCCUCACUGAAACCACUGACAAGUAUGCUGAAUAGAAAGUGUCAUUUCUCCUGGAAGACCCUCAGUGACCCAGCUGGAGGGUCUCUCCUACUCAUCAGCUGUCCCUCACUCUGCCAUUUCAG
Molecule: long non-coding RNA, 2378 nt
Filed under: Homo sapiens (human)
Lineage: Eukaryota; Metazoa; Chordata; Mammalia; Primates; Hominidae
Description: HSALNT0245630
Source: RNAcentral